GACGAACGCUGGCGGCGUGCUUAACACAUGCAAGUCGAACGGAAAGGCCCUGCUUUUGUGGGGUGCUCGAGUGGCGAACGGGUGAGUAACACGUGAGUAACCUGCCCUUGACUUUGGGAUAACUUCAGGAAACUGGGGCUAAUACCUGAUAGGAGCUCCUGCUGCAUGGUGGGGGUUGGAAAGUUUCGGCGGUUGGGGAUGGACUCGCGGCUUAUCAGCUUGUUGGUGGGGUAGUGGCUUACCAAGGCUUUGACGGGUAGCCGGCAUGAGAGGGUGACCGGCGACAUGGGGACUGAGAUACGGCCCAGACUCCUACGGGAGGCAGCAGUGGUGAAUAUUGCACAAUGGGCGGAAGCCUGAUGCAGCAACGCCGCGUGCGGGAUGACGGCCUUCGGGUUGUAAACCGCUUUCGCCUGUGACGAAGCGUGAGUGACGGUAAUGGGUAGAGAAGCACCGGCUAACUACGUG
Molecule: ribosomal RNA, 468 nt
Filed under: uncultured bacterium
Lineage: Bacteria
Description: partial 16S ribosomal RNA
Rfam family: Bacterial small subunit ribosomal RNA
Source: RNAcentral